Long non-coding RNA from Salarias fasciatus (jewelled blenny), 756 nucleotides. RefSeq lists it as uncharacterized. The transcript is spliced from 2 exons. The record is from RefSeq and is a predicted model, not a curated record. Lineage: Eukaryota; Metazoa; Chordata; Actinopteri; Blenniiformes; Blenniidae.
GGGUGGUCCAGGUGUAGCAUAGCACCUACGGCUGCAACAACUAAUCGAUUAAAUCGAUAAAAAUCGAUAAUUAAAUUCGUUGCCAACGAAUGUAGUUAUCGAUUUUUAAUCGCCAACUAGUCGCGAGUGUUUUCGGACUUUAGUUGUAGCUUAAAAGCUGCGGAGAAGAGAGCUCCGGUGAAAUUUCCACAUGGAACCUCUCACACGCGGCCAUCUUUGUUGUGGGCGCAUAAGCACUGGGCAAGGAGCACUCACUGCGCAGGCACAGCAGCGACCACAACAAAGAUAGCUGCAUCCAGUUCGUCUCAGGCUUGCGAUCGUCCGAAAAGAUCAAAAACAUGGGAGCGUUUCACUCUCGAUAAAGUAAAGAAAAGAGUCACAUGCAAUAUUUGCAAAAUGGAUUUCGCUUGGCACGGGAGCAGGACCGCGAUGCACGAGCAUCUGAAGAGAAGACACGUGGGAGUCCUCGAAGCCGAUCCAGACUCCCCUCGGCACAAGAAGACCACAGGCGCCAUGGAUGACUACAUUCAAAAGCAGCAGACUUGUUCUCCACAACAAGCAGCUGCCCUCACCCUGUCACUUUUGAAUGUGAUCAUUAAAGACAUGAGGCCCAUCUCCAUAGUUGAUGGUGAAGGCUUUCAAGAGAUGAUUCACACCUUCAACCCUGAAUACCGUAUUGGCCCGAAUAUAAGACGACUCCGAUUAUAACAUGACCCCUAUUUUUCAAAGAUCAUUUUGUGGAAAAAAAAAAAAAAA